Molecule: ribosomal RNA, 432 nt
Filed under: uncultured bacterium
Lineage: Bacteria
Description: partial 16S ribosomal RNA
Rfam family: Bacterial small subunit ribosomal RNA
Source: RNAcentral
ACGAACGCUGGCGGCAUGCCUAACACAUGCAAGUCGAACGAGACCUUCGGGUCUAGUGGCGCCCGGGUGCGUAACGCGUGGGAACCUGCCCUUAGGUUCGGAAUAAAUCCCCGAAAGGGGUGCUAAUACCGGAUAAUGUCUUCGGACCAAAGAUUUAUCGCCUUUGGAUGGGCCCGCGUUGGAUUAGCUAGUUGGUAGGGUAAAAGCCUACCAAGGCGACGAUCCAUAGCUGGUCUGAGAGGAUGAUCAGCCACACUGGGACUGAGACACGGCCCAGACUCCUACGGGAGGCAGCAGUGGGGAAUAUUGGACAAUGGGCGAAAGCCUGAUCCAGCAAUGCCGCGUGAGUGAUGAAGGCCUUAGGGUUGUAAAGCUCUUUUACCCGGGAUGAUAAUGACAGUACCGGGAGAAUAAGCUCCGGCUAACUCCGUG